This is a long non-coding RNA of Labeo rohita (rohu), 609 nucleotides long. RefSeq lists it as uncharacterized. The transcript is spliced from 3 exons. The record is from RefSeq and is a predicted model, not a curated record. NCBI's taxonomy places the organism in Eukaryota, Metazoa, Chordata, Actinopteri, Cypriniformes, Cyprinidae.
GCCGCUGAUCUGUAGUUUAUAAAGUCCAGAGUCUGUGGUUCUGCUGUUUGUGAUGGUCAGAGAUCCAGUCUGAUGAUCCAGCUUCAGUCUGUCUCUGACUCUCCAAUAAGAUGUAGGCUGGAUAGAACAUUGGAUCUGUGUUAUGGAAAUAUACCUGGUGCUUACAUCUCUAAGAACAGGGUCAUGAAGAGGAGCAAGCAUCUCAUUUUCCUGACCCGCCUGAUGACGUGAGGAAGCAGUUUAAAUGGGGGAUGGUCUUAUAAGCAGGCACUGGGUCAGUCAUGGACCAGAGCAUCUCAUUGCUUCAAGAAAUAGAUUGGGCAGUGAUAGCUGUCUUCAGAGGUGACGAGCCUGAAGUGGUCCACCCUGAAGAUGGACCUAAUCAUUCCCUACAUGGAAGCAUCUGUCGUGACCACCUUCCUUCUGGAGGUCAGUCCCAGUUGGAUGCCUGAUUGAAACAGGUGGCAGGCAAGCAGGCAGGGCCAGGGAGUUAAGGAAAACCAUUUCCUCAGCGUCCCUGACCUCCAUUAAGUUCAAUCACAUCAAUCAUAGAUCGCGUAGCACACACACAGAAACAACUAAACUCAGCUUCAUUAUUUGUAGAGAGAG